Molecule: long non-coding RNA, 13984 nt
Organism: Columba livia (rock pigeon)
Lineage: Eukaryota; Metazoa; Chordata; Aves; Columbiformes; Columbidae
Exons: 5
Source: RefSeq, a predicted model, not a curated record
GCUCCGGGCGCAUGCGCACAGCGGAAGACGAAGCAAGGGUCGCGCGGGAGGGCGGGCGCGUGGCGGCGCGGUGGGCGGGGCCUGGGCCGCGUGGCUCCCGCCACUUGUCCGCGGGGGCUUCUGGCACCUUCCAGGGGCGAGGGAAGGAGCCGGCGGGCGGCUGCUCGCCGCUGUGCGUGCGCUUGGAUUCUAAAAACGGUCAGAAAGAGCCGAGAGAACAGAGAGGUGGAGGCGUCUCAAGUGGCGAACCCCUCGGGCUGGAGGAGGGCCGGCCCGUGGAGCUGAGGGGGAGCAGCUGGAUCCUGCGUGUGCUGUGGGAUGCUGGAAUCCUACGGGUGUGUCUAAGAUGAGGGUGUUACCAAAGGGAUCGCCACGGGAAAAGAGGAAGGUGGCCCAGAUGUCUCCCCAGGAGGCUGGCAGCAUUGUGGUGCUUGAAGAAGAUGUGUUGAAAUCCAUACAUUGUGGACUUCUUAGAGUUUAAAUAAUGAAUUUCAGACAUGGCCGCCACCUCAGUCUCCUUGGUGAGGACAAGGAAGGGCUCUUAGCCGCAUGUAGUAAUGUCCUGUGAUCAAAAGGCAGUGCUCGCAAGAAGUGAACUGUUUGCAUUAACUAUAGGCAUUAAAACUAAGGAUUUCCCUGUCUGGCAUUUCUAUGCCAUGCUGGAGCUGGUCUAAGGGUGUUCCUGUCAUGGCCUUGCAGAGCAGUGCUCAUUGGAAGCGCCAGCACGAAGCAAGAGGAAAAAACACCAGAGCGCCUUGACAUGACCAGAGGUUGUAGACUGCUGACAACCUGUCCAACAAGUCCUGUGAUGCUGCCGAGGUGACGCAAUGGAACCGACCACAAGCUGUGGGGAGGACAGACUCAUUCCAGCAGUGCCUUGUUCUUGGAGUACAUGAACUGCGUUCUUUCUGGAUGAAAUUAAUGGGAAGAUGUACUCCAGGAAUGCACCAGGAGGGCACUGCAGCCACAAUUGGAGCCUCAGUUGCUGGAAUCACACUAGAGGAAAAAAAUCUUCAUCUUCUGCAGCAAAUCCUGGGCAUCCCAAGCAACUAACAUUUACUACAGCUGACCUUCCCACCCUGCCACCUCCCUUUAAGAUACCCUUCAUGGAGUUGUGAUGUUUGGCAUGAGAGAGAGAUGUGGUGAUUUAUGCAGCAGAAGACUAAAGAAAUCUGGAAAGUCUUCCAAUUAUUUCCAAACACCCAUCUCUGUCAGUCCAUAUAUUGUAAUCACUGCUACUUUCUUCAGCAUUGUUGGUAGAAGAUAAUCUUUUACCUGUGCCUUCCUGCAAAUGUAAGGAGCAGACUUCUGCCAGCAGGAAUUUCAGACAGGAAAAGUAUCACAGUUCCACAGGAGAACAUGAAGAUGAGCAAGUCUGUUCUCAUAGAAAUAUGUGUUUGCAUAAGUGUUGACAUCAGAAAAGUCUACACAGCUUUCUCGAAGAGCACCUCAUGGAUUUGGGAGUUAUUCAGCCAGGAAGAAGAAAUGUGCCGUGAAAAGUAGGUAACCAGUCACACCAAGAGAGCGGCAGAUGGUGCAUCCAUGAAGCAAUUCUCACCGCCAAGAGCCUGGCAUGUUCUGCAGGCUGGAAUGGAUCUGCCUCAUUAAUGAAGCAAGCACUUGGGUAGGGAAUGUCGAUGGAAAUCUAUAUAUGCUUGUGAAUAAGUUGUAAAUGGACUGCAAGGUUCAUACUUGGGAUGCAAAGAAGAUGGGAAGAGGAUGGUAAGAAGAGCCACCUUCCUAAUUCUGCUUUUUUUUUGCUGGUCUCAGUCCUGGCAGACAAUCCUGGGCAGCUCAAAGCAGGUUUUGACCCCAAGGCACAGGGCAUUAGGAAUGGUGACCCAGGUCAGGCCCACCUAAAGCUGGCACAUGUCUACAGUUGCAGGAAUGUAAAACAGAACUCUCAUUAUUGCAUGAAAUUAAAAAAAAGUGGACUCCUAUUCACAUCAGCUCCUUCAAAGCCUUAUUUGUGUGCUUUAGCAAGGAAAUAUUCAGAUGAAUGUCAGACAGAUUCCUGGGAUGGCUAUUACAUUCCCCCUGUCAUGGGAUCAGAAGAGUCUGUGUAGUUGCCUUUGGCCCUGAGACAAAAAACCUUGUGGCAUGGAAUCAAGAAAAGGAGGAGAGAAUAACAAGUAGAAGGAAGAAAUGACUUGGCCAAGCCAGAAAACGUGAAGUUGGAGCCAAACCAGAGCCAGCUCUGAGGCACAACUGGGACAGUGAAAAGCCCCGGGACAGCUGGUCUGGUGCUCACUGUGGGUGGGUGGGUGUGCAGCAGUGCUGGACCAGGGAAGCUUGUGCCCUUCCUCCAGCUCCUCCAGCUCCAUCCACCCUUGCUCAGGGCAGCCAAAAUGGGAAAAGAAACAUGCUGGAAAUUUUAUGGAGGUAUUUAAUUGAAUUUGAAUGACGCUGACAAGUGAUGGGGUGCCAGGGCUUUCAUUGACAUUUGAAGUGAAGAGCAGGUACUUGGUUUUGGGAUGUGGUUGACUUCUCCAGUCUUGACAAAGAGCAGGGAGGCCUCUGAGGAGGCAGCUCACUGCGCUUGGUGGGUGAGCUGGUAAGGGGAAGCUCUGGUGCAAUCCUGCUCACUGUGAAAAGCAACGCUACCAGAUAGGGAAGAUUUAGAUAACAUCACAACUCACCAUAGCAUUCUCCAGCUUCUCCCUCCCAGACAACAACAACAACAAAAGCCUUCCAGAGAUUGGGGAUUUAUUGGGGAAUUAUGUAUUCCCAUGCUUACUGUUUUUUAAGGGCCUGGUCCAAAGCUCUUGGAAGUCUUUCAGUUGACUGCAAUGAUGCACAUGACUGGAAUGAACUCCAGCUCGCAGUGUCUUUUAUAUGGCUUUUACCAAGAACUUCAUAAUAAUGUGUUGAUGCCUCAUAGCAUCCCUCUGACAUUGGGCUUCACAAGGAAAAUGCUCUCCCAGCUCAUUUGUUUUGAUGACUAGCUUACAUUGUUUUUCAUGCCAAAAAGGGAAGAAGCUAUCUGCAAAUCCAAGUUCUGUGGGCUCCCUAUAAGGCUAUUAAAAAAAGCCAGAAAACAAAAAAACCAAACCAAACACAACAGUUCUGGAAAACCAGUCCUCUUAUUCCUCCCACAACAAACCUGCAAGACCAUUUCUCUGCCAGUCUUUAAUCAUCCCUGGUGGAUUACAUGCAGGCAAGGCCAGCCUCAACAUAGAAAGACAAAAUGGGGAAAUGAGGCUGAGGUGGGUGUCACAACAGUGGGCAGGAGUGGAAGGCAGUCUGAGGAUGUGCUGGCACCAGAAAGACCAGCAGAAGACCAUGAAAUUGGCCUCAGCAUUGGACAGUGACAUGUUCUGAUAGGAAUUAGGGUGGUGCAAAAAUAAAUGUCACAUGGAAUAACUGGGCUAGACAUCUAAAAAAUACCCAUUCUGAUCUGAGUAACAACCUCAGUACUCAUCAUUAUGAGGUUUGUGUUUUGUGGCGUAAGAUCUUACUGGCUGGCAGAACUGAGAUGGAGGGACACUCAGGAAAACCACUUGCCCUUACUAAGUGCCUGAGGCUGCCGGAGUCUGAGGAAUCAUUAUUACCAUUUCUCUGUGACCGAGCUAUUGCAGUUCUUGAUCAAUAGAGAUUAUGGUUUCAAAUCCUGACCGUUUAUUUAGACCUAAAACUAGGCCAGGAAAUGCCAAGCUAAAUAGGUAAGUGUUCUGUGUAAGUCUUCUCACAAGGGCAAAUGAGAAGGAGAAAAAUGUUUUUCUAUAGUACGCAAGGUCUCUUUCACUCCUACCUGAAUUCCUCCUGCAGGCAUAAGUCUUCCAAGUGAUACUGAAUUUUUCCUGUUGCUGUAUAUUCCCAAAUUCAAAUUUGUCCAAACUGAAUCAUAGGAAGAGAAAACUUUAGCAGCGCAAUGGCUAGAACAAGCUGCAGAGAGAGGAUCCUGCUGGAGGUUGCCAUUCAUGUUGGAUUGUGUACCUGCAGGAAAAUAAGAGUGCUCUCAUAUCACGACCUGCCCUCAGGUAUGAGUUGGGGGGGAGAAGUGACUCAGGUUUGUGGGUCCCCUUUGGUUGGAAAACAGUACACACAGUACUUAAGGUCCACAAACAAAAGGCUUUUAUUUUGCAGCUUGGCCCAAACAGUAUAUGAUUCGGUGGCAGAAGGAUUUACAUUAUUGUGGGUUCGAUUGGUAAACAUAAAAAGUUUGCGGCACACGCAGGGCUGUAAAUCUUAUGUUACUAUGUUACAUAUAAAAGGGAAAGCAAAACGGCAGAAGUAUGAGAAAGAAAAGAGAAAGAUUUCACCAUCUUUGUGGCUCCGCUUUAUGUGUGAUGGAGUUUGCAGUCUCAAAUCCAGCGAUGUGCGGUGUCCUCUGGUGUCUUGUUCAGUUCAUGUGGUGAGACCGGUGGGCAGAGCAGUCCUCGGGAUGGUGGGUGGGCACCGCCAGUGCUUGCACAAGGUGGGCCUUUAUAGCCCUCUGGGUUGCCCGCUUGCGUAACUUUUGGUCUUUUGUGGAGGUGUUGUUGUGAAAGAGAGAUAAGUCUGUGGGGAAGUGGAGGUUGUGAAAUAUUGACAAGUCUCAGGCCAUGUUGAAGGGUCUCAGCUUUUCCCAUUGUGCCAUGCUGGGUGUAUCAGAAGGUGGAGCUGUGUGCCCUCUGGCACAUCCCCCACCUCCUGUAUUGGCCAGCUGGCCUGGUCUGUGGCUCCUUAGCUUGUCACUGAUACAUAAGCCACAAUUCACCCUAUACUAAAUGUGUCUUCUCCUGUGGCUGGAUGAACUGGCUUUGCUACAAUGUUUCAGCCAUUAUCCUUAUCAGUACAUGACGUCUCCCCGUGCAGACAGUUCCAUAGUCAUUCAAAAGCAAAAAGGUUUCUUCUUAACCUAUGUGGCCUGAUGAGGUAAAGUCCUUUUCAAGAUGACAACCGAAGUUGAUAGGAUUUGUAAAAUCAUGUUCUCUCGUAGCCUUUAGUGCAAUCUGCCGCUUUGGACAAGGAACUACAAAUGGCUGAUUCAGUUUAAAGAUGGCAUUUAUUCUGUGCAGGCAUCUGAAAGAUGACGUGUCCCUUUUCUUACAUCCUCACCCUCUGCUUGGCCUUCACUGGCAAAAAUAAGAAUUUCAAGGCUCAAGAUCUAAAUAUGACUCCAGUUUCUAUGCUGACAAGAUUUUUUAUUCCCAGUGGGGUGAUAAGAAAGAUCCUUUAUAAAUUGUCUUUGUGAACAGAAGAGUAUAUGUGCUGCUAGAUGCUUUAUUUUUCGGUAUCAGAAAAGGCAAUGCUGAAGGACCUGGGGGAUUUCAGGAUUUCUGUGUCUCAAUAUAAUAGACUUGUAGUAGCGUGCACUUUUGGUAGACCCAGGCUGCAAGUCAGUGCAAUAUACAUGAUAUACAACCAUCACUCGCUCCUGGAAUUGCCCUUUGAUGUGUUAGCAGACCUGUGACCCUUCUGAAAACAUUCAUUUGCACAGCAACUGCUGGCAGAGAUAGCUGAGAGGAAGGGUUGAAAUGAACAUCAUUUGCAUUACACAUGAUCAGUCUUUUAACCAGGAAGUUUCAUGCUAAAUUUUAAGAAGAUAGUGUGCAUGUGCCUGCAUUUGGGUCCCAAAAAAACCCCCACCACCAAGAGGUCUGUCAAAUAACUUUAAAAUCAUAGGCUUUUUCCAAAUGUAUUUCCAAGAAUGGCAUCCAGUCUCCAGCAUGGAGCAUGCUGCUGCAGCAAUCAUUUAAAAUUCUGCUAAAUCAUUCUGUGACUCUCUAACCAGUACUAAUAGCUUUUAGGCUGGCUGGCAAUCUCACUUCAAUAGGAAGCCUUGCACAGGCUUCUAGACCAUUUAUGUGUGCGGGUGAGUGAGAGAGAGCACUACAGAUUUAAUUUAGUGCCCUUGGUGGCUUUCAGUAGAAUAUAUAUAUAUUAAUCACUUGUGACUUCUGGUUUGGGGGGUGGGGGUUCAUCUGGAGUACAGGAAAAUCAAAUUAAACUCAUAAAGAUGAAAGUUGUCUUGAUUUCAUUUGCUGAUUUUAAACAGCAAAUUGUUUCUUACCCAUCCUUGCAUGAUAAUUGGUAAAUGUACUGAAAUGGGCUGAGUUUCAGAAGGCUCUCUGGGUAAUCACACACAAUAACUGGAGUUCAGAAUGUGCACUGUAGGUACAAUUGCUAAUCACGUUGCUCAGAUAAUUUCUGUCUGUGAGAAACACAUUGUAUUUUGAAGCUGGGAUCUCACAACGAGGAGGCAGAACCAUCUUUAGCUGUGUCUGGCAUGGGGACCCCAAGCAGACGAGAUGCUGUAGCGCAGCUCUGAAAAUGUGAGCCAUUGACUCAGCUGCAGGGAGCAAGGAAUAGGAGGAAAUUGUGUGAGAUGCAUGAGACACAGUAGGUCUGUAGGCAACAUUACUCUGCAGAUGAGAGUCACUUCAUCAGACAUUAGGCUUUGGAUAUUGCACUUUAAUUUGGUUGAGUAGUGUCUCUGUGUUGCCCUCGGAGGGCAAUUUUUCCUAUCUGAGGCUAGGGAAUUGCAUUUCCAGAACAUGAGUUGUCUCCUUAUAUAUGGAUAACUCACCUUCUGUAGUGUCUUUGAGAUGGAUGGAGCCUGGCUUAGACGGAACACCCAGGUGAUCACAGCCAGGAUCAGAAGUGUCAUGCCAGGGGCUGAGUUUGAUCCAAGAGGCUACAGGGCAGAAGGAUUUGGUUAAAAGAAAAUAAAUCUGUCGUGGGGAUGAAGCUACAAGAGUUGUUGCUGGUGCAGCUGAGAGCAGACCAUGCCCAUAGUCUGCAGAUUACAGCUGCAGGGGCACUUCAGUGAUUCUUUUUAACUCAUGUCUACAGGAAGCAAGAAAGAAUUGUGUUAAAUGGGUUAAAACAGUACAAUGGAGCUCAGGGACUUGUGGGGACUGGGAGUGUCCUGUGCUCAGAGUGGUGUUACUGAUACCUGCAGCUGGUGGCCAGAGCUGCCUGGGCAGCACUGCUGGCAAAGGGGCAUCUGCCCUUCUGUCGUCCUAACCCGGCAACACAGUGCUGUGUUUGAGCAGUUCUGCUGAAAAUAAGGGAAAAAACAAUCACCCAGCCACAGCUGGUGCCUCUCUCCUCCUCUCUCACAUAGCUGCUGUUACCAUGGCAGCAGUCAUGCUGCUGGAGGAUGCUCUGGAGGGCCUCCUCCUCCACCUCCUCCUCCUCCUCCUCCUCCUCCUCCUCUUUCUCCCCUUGCCUGCUGUUAUCGCUGCCCCAUGAGCAUCAGGCGGCUCCCAUGGAGGAAUAGGUGAUAGGUUGCUUCAGUGCCUUUCCUGGGGAGCACUUGGUCUCCCCUCACCCGGGAGCCUCUCCAGUGUCAUGGCCGUUUUGUUGACAGUUGGCAGCACUGCACAACAGUGGCACAGUGUCCGGGUCUUACUGCUUUAGGGAUGGAGUUACAUUCCAAACUCUUGGUCCGGUCCUGUGCAUGCCAUUACUAAAAAGGUUCUUGCACUUGGCAUGUGUAAGAGCAUUUUGCAGGGUGACAGAAUUUCUUCGACCCUUUCAGCUGCAGAGAACAAGUUUUCUAUUCCUGUCAGUGUGACCAUGUUGAAAGCUGCCUGCCUGCCUUUGCCCAUUUUUGUGCCUUCAUCAGACAGCUGGAAUCAGUAAGGGUUGUACACUAAAUUCUUCCAGUUCUUCCUCAAUUCUUGUUUGAGUUGCUGAGCUGUACUAGUGAAUUUGGGAGCCCUGACAACUCUCAGACACCAACAGGUGCAUACAGGAAAUAUUUUGAGUGGAUCUUGUUCACAAAAUUCAGAGUAUGUGGGUUGGAUGGAUCUUGUGGACCAGCCAACCCAUGCCUUGCUGAUGUUAAGCAAGGUAAAACAAAGUAUGUUUAAGCUGUUUCUGCAAUUCACUUCCAACUUUUCUCCUUUUCACUUCUCUUCUAACUUCUUUUCACUUCUUUUCUAGCUAGCUGAAGGUCUGUAUCAGACCUAAGUAUAAAUUAAAAGGAGGCUUAUGGUUGUGUCUGCCCAGGGCCUUGUGGGGUUGUUGUGGCAGCCAAACAUCCUGGUGUAGCUGUUGUUGUCUUACUCCUAAUGCUAUGGGUGGUUCUCAUGCAUAGGGGAUGAGAAAAGGAUGACCUUAAAGUCCUGAUGGCAGCUGUACAGCAAUAGAAGAUUUCUCCAUACAGGAGAAAUUCUCAGACUUCUUGUCUUCUUGUUCAGCUGUAUUUGUUCCCUCUCUGCCUCCAUGGAAAUUUUCAGCUUUGAUUGAAAGAGAAUAAUUAUAGAAGUUGACAUUAUAAACUUCGACUUGAUUUAAAAUAAAGAAAAAAAUAAUAAAAACUUUGAAAAAUAUUUUCCUGUUUGCAUCUAGACUAAAGCUAGACUGUCCAUUCUCUGGGAAAUUCAGACCAAAAAAAUCUCUCAAAGAACUUAUGAAAUUCCUCUCAGCAGGGAUUUUCUUAAAGGAAACAAUUAUAAAACUAUCAAAAAUGUUUCAGUUCAAGGCUUUCAGAAGGAAACAUCACGGGGGGAGUUCAAGCUCUGAUAUCCACAAGGCACCUCUUCCCCUGCUUCCUACUGGGGGAUCUGGUUCUGCCCUUGGACUCUGGCAGCCCUGAGAGUCCUGGUUGAUGACCUGCAGUCGUGAGGGCUUUGGAGCUCAUGGUCCCCAUUUGGGAAACCUGAAGCUUUUUCAGACCCCAGGGUUUUGAUGAUUUCUAAGUUCAGCAGAGAGAGGAGAGGAGGGGGUGAGCUGGCAGGAAAGCAGACGGUGCUCUGCUGGAGCCCCUGCAAGGUGAUUGAAAAUCACCAUCCCUUUUCUUGAACAGGCAAUUUUCAAGGGAAAAUUUGUUUUGUCAGAAUUUUUCUGCCCAGCUCUUCCCUGUGGGCUUUUAGUGCCAGUUCUCCAUGCCCUUACCCUUGCCCAAGGGCCUGGGAGCGCCAAGGACAGCAGGGUCUCCAGUCUGGGGGACCCACUGCAUCGCAGAAGCCCAGGAAGGGGAUCUUUCAGGCAGAAAUGGGGCAAGCAGCUGAGAGCUUCCUAAUGGGAUGUGGGAGCCUGGGGUUACAGGAUACUCAUCCUGCAGCCACCAGGAGUCACUGCACCAACAUUGCAAACAUAAUUUCGGGUACUGGACAGGGAUGUUGCUCAAAGGUUCCAUUUUUUUGAAUGGCAAAAACUUUUCAGUUCUGGAGUAAUUGGUGUGUUUGGUUGUUGUUGUUUUGGGGUUUUUGUUGGGUUUUGUUUGUUUGAUUGGUUUUGGUGUGGGUGUUUGUGUUGUUGUUGGUUGGUUGGUUAAUGUUGUUUGUUCUUUUUUUUUCCAAACCCAUACUUUUCUCAGGGGAAGGGAGAUAUUUUUCGUGAGUAUUUUUGUGGAGCUGAGAACUGGAUUGUCACAAAGAAAAUCAAAACUUUUUGGAUUAAAAUCGUGUUAAAAUGACCAUGUGGAGGUGGAUUGAAUAUAGCUUUUUCAAAACAGACAGUGAAUCUUUAAAGAAAACCUUUGCGUUUCCCACAGUCAAGGUUGUAUCUCAAAAAAUAUUAUCUCAUAUUGAGUCUUAAUAGGAUUUGUAUGUUAUCUGGAGCGGUAUUUCUGCUGCCAUCUUCAAACUAUGAUAAACCAUAUUGGCACAAGCCAUACUUGGCAUUAACACUUUUGUUGUUGUUGUUGUUUUGUACUGGGCACUCCAUUAGUGCUGCUACAUCAAUUUAAUAAAUAACGCACUGCAAGCAAGUAGUCAUUUAAUUGGAAACCCAGAAAUAUUCAGAGAUGGCUUAAACCAGAAGGUUUUAUUGCUGCUGCUGACAGUGUCAUCUUUAAAAGGAAAGAGAGACAACAUAAUGAAAUGCCUGUGAUCAGUUAGUGUUGUGCCGAAGUCCUCAUGAUAGGGUUUAAACCUCACUGUUAUCCAGAAAAUCUCCUGGCAGUUCCACUUUAUGUUGUUGUGCACAUCAGGCUGCAAUGCUGUUAGGGAGUGUUUUUACUCCAGAAAUUGAAAGGAUGAUAGUGACCCAAAUGCUACUGAUAUAUUCCAUGUCUCUGUCAGACCGGAAUUAUUGAAGGAAUUAUUUUAAAUGUUUCUAAUGUACUCCAUGUUCUGUGGAUGGGAAGUGUUGGAAAGUAUUUUUACAACUAAUACGUCCUAAAGCACAUGUUCUCUCCUGUCGACAUGACACCAACACUUUUGUGGUGCACAUGAGAAAAAUCAACAGCUUUAUUAAAAAUAUGCUGAUCCUGGGAACUGCUAACCUAUAUGGCAGGCUAGAUAUAAAUUAAAUUCAUCAAUCGUACAAAUUAGCCAUCUUAUGGGUAAUAUUAAAAUGAGCAGGAUACUAGCCAAAUUAAAAAAUAAUCAAUUUCAAGUGAUGUUUAUAAUUCUGAAGCAGAAGUGCUGGUAACAUUAUCAUUAUUAUUAGAAUGCUUCCUGCAGUAAUUCUGCUCUGGAGGGGCAAAAGGGGGAAGCAGUCUAGCAUAUUAUAGAUAGUUUAGGAAUUUCCUGCUCCUUUAUCAGCCAUCUUGAACUGCAAAUUUAGAUCUGUCUGGGGAAAAAGACUGAAAUAGGUCAGAUCAACUGGGAAUCGGGAAAAAGGAAAAGACUCAGCAGCCUAGCAAAAGGAAAAUCAUCACCUUAAGGAAAAGAAACCUACUCAUAAAGUCAUAGCUAAGGCAAGAGUGCUUAUGCACAAGUGUGGAAGCAGAGGUCUCAGAAGAAUUACCUAAGGGUGAAGGAAAUAAGCAUGUGAGGUAUUAACCUUAAGUACUCCCUUCUCGACGAGCCUUUCAAGCAGUCACAUUUUAAAAUAACAAUUGAAAAACCAUGGCUCAUAAAAAUUAGCCCUCCUGCUUGUGAACAUGAUGUUAAGACCUAAUAGAUUUAUUUUGUUUGCUAAGCUUUGUUGUAUUAAUUGGUUGCUAAUAGUCUGCUAAAGUAAAUAAUAAGCUACUUGAUGAGAAUAAUGUAUAUUUUCAGACCUGUAGACCAUUAAACAUGAUUUAGUCACUAAGACCAAGCCAACCAAGGUAGAUUACAUUGGGGUAUUGAACAUUUGGGUGUUUGACACCAAAGCCUGGGCUGCAGGUAACAGCAUUACUUAGCAUAAUAAAUAAGCCUUUUGCAGGGAUCCAGCCUGAUAUCUCAUAAGGUCUAAUGGUGAUAGGGUGGGAGAUCAGGGAACUAAGGGAAAAGUGGGAGCUAGUACAAUGUUUAAUUUCUCACCUGAAAUGUCUCACUCUAGUGAUGCUGAACAACAUGGGACAUGGCAAAAGUUCUAUUCUGAGCCCCUGAACUGUGAUUUAGAUUUUAGACAUUACCAUUAAUUAUUGAAACUCAGAAGGCUGCAAAAACAUCUUGAUUCAUUGGCAAAGUGACAAACAUAUGGUGUGUUUUGCAAACCUCUAGGUUUCUGUUCAGAGGAGGAGAACAUUAAUUGCAUACAAAUUCUACUGGGAGUUCUAAAACCAGCCAUCAUUAACAUUGUUAGAUAUCCUAUCUGGGAAGAUCAGUGCAUUUUAAAAUCUGAGUUAAAAAUUCAGAGCUUUUGUAAAAGUUUUGAGAAGGAAAGUACAGAAGUGUAAUGAACGCAAAGAAGAGCCUAAGUAUUGGUGCUCUUCGGUAUCUGAUGUUGGUGUAUCAACAGCUUUGCUUUGAUAGUCUGGAUGGUAGGUUAAUAUUUGUCUUGGUAGGUUAAUAUUUGUUAACACUUGAAAACUGGCAUCAGAAUCUGUUCUUGGUUGCCUGUGGCCUCUUACCAAUUCUGCUUUGGCUGUAUGAUUGCCAAUUUGACAUCUGAAAUCUUAUGAACGUCAAAACUUCAAGUCUAGAUUCACUGAACAGAGUUUAAUCAACAUUGGCAAUGGGCCUUAGAUGAAGGAGAUUGUGCUGUGAUUAUUAACACAACCCAGAAAGCCUCACCAGAGAAUGCUGCAGUGCGUUAUGUAGAAAAUAAAUUACUUUGUUUUUCAUCUGGGUUGUGGUAUGGUGGCUGUUCUUCACCUGAUGAAGAACCGUGCUGCCCAGCCACCUCUCUGGCUGAGGAUGGGCAUGUAGAUACAGCACUACAGAUAGACAGGGAGGGACAAGAUCGCGUGGGCUUUUUUGACCAAGGGCUGUAGGAUCAUCACACCUCAUGACCUACCCAGCAGGUUCACUGCUCUUGCAGUAAAGAAGCUUGUAGAGCACUCACCACAGGCCAUAACUGCAGGACAGUUAUUCUGUUGCAGCAUGACAAAAUCUGGGGUGAUCCGAGUUGCGAUGUCCCUGGUAUAAAGGAAGAUCCAGCUGGGACACAGUGCAGAAAAAUCCUGGGUCAUGCUGUGAUGCAAGGGACCUGUCCCAUUCACCAGGUCAUUCCUCCAUUCCGAUUCAUGUUAUUACUUUCCCACUUUUAAAUGCCUUCAAUGACUCCUCUCUUUCAGAAGGGUUAAAUUCCCCAUGGCUGAGCAACUUGUGCAUAGCCUUAGUGAUUCCCCUGUUACGGGCUAUCACUACUCUAUUCAAGCCUCAUAUUUCAGUGCCAAUAGUCAAACUCCAGAAGCAAAGCCAAUCUCAUUGUAUUUAUGCGUGCACCCUUGAGAAUGCUCUUCUGCAGCAGUGUUUGAAGCUGCGACUGCUGGGUGGAUUUCGUUGCUUUCAUCUUCCAUCUCACAUUCUUUAUGUGUGUAAAGCAGUUUAAAACUGAGCCCCAGUGUGCUUAUAAAAUGCCAGGUCAUUGACAAUAGUGGCACUCAUUUGCUGCGGUCAAUUUAGUACUAAUAAGCUGAAACUGUUCUGCAGGGAUUCUUCUACAUGGCACAUGAAAUCCUUUUCCCUCAGUUAAGGACACUUUCCUAUAAAAUGAUUGCAACCUAAUAGUUUUCCUCCUCAUUUUAGUAACCAGUCUCAGUCUAUAUUAGUGCUAUUUUCCCCAGCAGCUUUCUGUAUAAGCUCUAUUUCAAGGCACCGAAUCAAUGAUUACGUGGUAUGCAGUCCAUUGAACUGUCCAUCCUGGGAACCCAGCAUGUAAUACAGCCCCUAAUAUCCUAGUGCCACAGUAAAAGUAGAAUUUACUGCAGUAGGCUAAAUUCAAUGUUCAGGCUCCUUUGGUUUUUAGUUUUCUUUCUUUUCAUCCAUCUUAAAGCAGGUGGGACAUCUUCUCAGGUGCCUCUCAGAAAUGCUGAUUCUGCACAUGGAUUUUCUGACUCUCUGCAAAUGCAAUAGCAGAGGCAAAAUGGAGGUUUCACACCCUCCUAAAGUCAUUAUUCACUCAGCUCUGAAGACAGCACUCUGCAUAUAUUAGUCUCACUGAUCACUGCAUCUCUUCAUUUUUUCUUUGUCCUGUCCCUAUAUCCAGUUGCUUUCCUGAAUUCAGGCUCCUUUUGCUCUUUUCUACUUUUGCUUUCCCUGUGGUUCUGAUGCUUCAUAUUGAGCAAAUUAUUCUUCCAUCCAGAUUACUCUGAAUCUCUUUCAAGAAUGCCUUCUGUGCUUAUUCCUACACUGAUUUGCUGAAAUCUGUAAUAAAAUAAUCUCAGCAGAACUACAGACAAAACCCAGACACAUAUAAAUGAAUGCAAUUCAUUCCCUAUCUCCUUCUGGUACCCUCUUUGCACAAGGUUCUACUUCCUUCUCUGAGCAAGUCAUGUGGAUGGAAUAACUUCAUAUGUAUUGUUGAUACUAGAUGUACUUUCACUAACUACUGACCAGAUCUCUCUGAUUGUAUGUUGUGUAUAUGCGAAGUCACGAUUCAAUGGGGCUAGAACCUCUGUUUUAGUUGAAUUAUUAUUAAAAAUCCAGUGUAAAGCUUUCCAGCUAUGAAGGUACCUUGUCUGCUCUCUCUUUUACAGCAUAAGUGGGGUCUCUUGUCUACUUAUGCUCCAAGAAGAGAACUAUAUCAUUCCGUGAUAAAAUGACUCUAGUAAUUUUAUCCCCAAUAAAUUGACCGUGUGACAUCAUUAACUUCCCGCACAUUCUGUGUGGCCAUAAAUAACUGCCACUUCUACAUGGAAAAUCUUUCUGGCAGGCUAUGCAUUGCUAUGAAUUAAACAAAAACCCAACACACUAAUUUUAUAUUAAUUAAACUAGUAUUUUAAAAAUAA